UACGGAGGGCGCGAGCGUUGUUCGGAAUCACUGGGCGUAAAGCGCGUGUAGGCGGCCGAGCAAGUCGGAUGUGAAAUCCCGAGGCUCAACCUCGGAACUGCAUUCGAAACUGCUCGGCUCGAGUCCCGGAGAGGAUGGCGGAAUUCCCGGUGUAGGGGUGAAAUCCGUAGAUAUCGGGAGGAACACCAGUGGCGAAGGCGGCCAUCUGGACGGUGACUGACGCUGAGACGAGAAAGCGUGGGGAGCAAACAGG
RNAcentral lists this ribosomal RNA (253 nucleotides) under uncultured bacterium. RNAcentral's name for it is "partial 16S ribosomal RNA". It matches the Rfam family "Bacterial small subunit ribosomal RNA", at positions 524 to 776 of the family's 1533-position model. The record is from RNAcentral.